This 325-nucleotide small nuclear RNA is filed under the name Anolis carolinensis (green anole). RNAcentral's name for it is "7SK RNA". It matches the Rfam family "7SK RNA". From Rfam's summary of the family: 7SK was discovered as an abundant small nuclear RNA in the mid-70s but a possible function has only recently been suggested. Two independent studies have found that 7SK RNA binds the CDK9/cyclin T complex (known as elongation factor P-TEFb). The record is from Rfam by way of RNAcentral. Lineage: Eukaryota; Metazoa; Chordata; Lepidosauria; Squamata; Anolidae.
AGAUGUGAGAGCGAUCUGGCUGCGACAUCUGUCACCCAUUGAUCACUAGGGUUGAGUCGGCUGAUCUGGCUAUCUAGGUGGGUGUUUCCUUCCUCCCUCACUACUCCAUGUGCAUCUCUCCUGAAGCUGCACACUCGGCGGAAGAGGACGAUGUCCCAGGUAUAGAAGGAGUGUACUGAGGUCUCAAGUCUUCAGUCCCAGGUAUACGAUAGCUGCGCUCCCCUGCUAGAACAUCCGAGAGCUAUAGUUAUUUGUGGAAGUAGGAGCUUAUCUGUGUAAGUGGACACCCCAGCCACACACAUAACAUACAUAUUUUCACUUUUAU